UCUGGACGGAGCAACGCCGCGUGAGUGACGAAGGUUUUCGGAUCGUAAAACUCUGUUGUGAGGGAAGAACACGUACCAACUAACUAUUGGUACCUUGACGGUACCUCACCAGAAAGCCACGGCUAACUACGUGCCAGCAGCCGCGGUAAUACGUAGGUGGCAAGCGUUGUCCGGAAUUAUUGGGCGUAAAGCGCGCGCAGGCGGUUCCUUAAGUCUGAUGUGAAAGCCCACGGCUCAACCGUGGAGGGUCAUUGGAAACUGGGGAACUUGAGUGCAGAAGAGGAAAGUGGAAUUCCACGUGUAGCGGUGAAAUGCGUAGAGAUGUGGAGGAACACCAGUGGCGAAGGCGACUUUCUGGUCUGUAACUGACGCUGAGGCGCGAAAGCGUGGGGAGCAAACAGGAUUAGAUACCCUGGUAGUCCACGCCGUAAACGAUGAGUGCUAAGUGUUAGGGGGUUUCCGCCCCUUAGUGCUGCAGCUAACGCAUUAAGCACUCCGCCUGGGGAGUACGGCCGCAAGGCUGAAACUCAAAGGAAUUGACGG
Molecule: ribosomal RNA, 543 nt
Filed under: uncultured Caryophanaceae bacterium
Lineage: Bacteria; Bacillati; Bacillota; Bacilli; Caryophanales; Caryophanaceae
Description: bacterial SSU rRNA
Rfam family: Bacterial small subunit ribosomal RNA
Source: RNAcentral